GAUGAAGAACGUAGCGAAAUGCGAUAAGUAAUGUGAAUUGCAGAUUUCCAGUGAAUCAUCGAAUCUUUGAACGCACAUUGCGCCCCUUGGUAUUCCAUGGGGCAUGCCUGUUCGAGCGUCAUCUACACCCUCAAGCUCUGCUUGGUGUUGGGCGUCUGUCCCGCCUUUGCGCGCGGACUCGCCCCAAAUUCAUUGGCAGCGGUUGCCUCCUCUCGCGCAGCACAAUUGCGUUUCUUGAGGAGUGCGGGCCGCGUCCACGAAGCAACAUUACCGUCUUUGACCUCGGAUCAGGUAGGGAUACCCGCUGAACUUAAGCAUAUCAAUAAGCGGAGGA
Molecule: unclassified non-coding RNA, 334 nt
Filed under: soil metagenome
Description: partial contains 5.8S ribosomal RNA, internal transcribed spacer 2, and large subunit ribosomal RNA
Rfam family: 5.8S ribosomal RNA (bases 1-121)
Source: RNAcentral